GACGAACGCUGGCGGCGUGCCUAAUACAUGCGGGUAGAACGCUGAAGGAGGAGCUUGCUUCUCUGGAUGAGUUGCGAACGGGUGAGUAACGCGUAGGUAACCUGCCUGGUAGCGGGGGAUAACUAUUGGAAACGAUAGCUAAUACCGCAUAAGAGUAGAUGUUGCAUGACAUUUGCUUAAAAGGUGCAAUUGCAUCACUACCAGAUGGACCUGCGUUGUAUUAGCUAGUUGGUGGGGUAACGGCUCACCAAGGCGACGAUACAUAGCCGACCUGAGAGGGUGAUCGGCCACACUGGGACUGAGACACGGCCCAGACUCCUACGGGAGGCAGCAGUAGGGAAUCUUCGGCAAUGGACGGAAGUCUGACCGAGCAACGCCGCGUGAGUGAAGAAGGUUUUCGGAUCGUAAAGCUCUGUUGUAAGAGAAGAACGAGUGUGAGAGUGGAAAGUUCACACUGUGACGGUAUCUUACCAGAAAGGGACGGCUAACUACGUG
Molecule: ribosomal RNA, 495 nt
Filed under: uncultured bacterium
Lineage: Bacteria
Description: partial 16S ribosomal RNA
Rfam family: Bacterial small subunit ribosomal RNA
Source: RNAcentral